RNAcentral lists this ribosomal RNA (1187 nucleotides) under metagenome. Its description in RNAcentral is "SSU rRNA". It matches the Rfam family "Eukaryotic small subunit ribosomal RNA", at positions 603 to 1801 of the family's 1831-position model. The record is from RNAcentral.
AUUAAAGUUGUUGCAGUUAAAAAGCUCGUAGUUGGAUUUCUGGUUUGACAUGCCUGGCCCGCCACGGUUACGUGUGUGAGUGCCGGCGCGUGUCUGCCAUCCUUCUGGAAAACGUGUCUACCCUUCACUGGGCCGGAUACGCGAUCCAAAUCAUUUACUUUGAAAAAAUUAGAGUGUUUAAAGCAGGCUUUUUGCUAUGAAUACAUUAGCAUGGAAUAAUAAUUUAGGACUUUGGCCCUAUUUUGUUGGUUUCUAGGACUGAAGUAAUGAUUGAUAGGGAUAGUUGGGGGUGCUCGAAUUCAGCGGCCAGAGGUGAAAUUCUUGGAUUCGCUGAAGACGAACUCAUGCGAAAGCAUUCACCAAGGAUGUCUUCUUUAAUCAAGAACGAAAGUUGGGGGAUCGAAGACGAUCAGAUACCGUCGUAGUCUCAACCAUAAACUAUGCCGACUAGGGAUCAGCGAACGUUGAAUUUUUGACUUCGUUGGCACCUUAUGAGAAAUCAAAGUCUUUGGGUUCCGGGGGGAGUAUGGUCGCAAGGCUGAAACUUAAAGGAAUUGACGGAAGGGCACCACCAGGAGUGGAGCCUGCGGCUUAAUUUGACCCAACACGGGAAAACUUACCAGGUCCGGACAUAGUGAGGAUUGACAGAUUGAAGAUCUUUCUUGAUUCUAUGGGUGGUGGUGCAUGGCCGUUCUUAGUUGGUGGAGUGAUUUGUCUGGUUAAUUCCGUUAACGAACGAGACCUCGACCUGCUAAAUAGUUUCAUAAAUCCUUCGGGAUUUGCUGUAGACUUCUUAGAGGGACUAUCGGUGUGUAGCCGAUGGAAGUUCGAGGCAAUAACAGGUCUGUGAUGCCCUUAGAUGCCCUGGGCCGCACGCGCGCUACACUGAUGCGUUCAUCGAGCUUACAACCUUGACUGAAAGGUCUGGGUAAUCUUUUGAAAUCGCAUCGUGCUGGGGAUAGAUGAUUGUAAUUAUUCAUCUUCAACGAGGAAUUCCUAGUAAACGCAAGUCAUUAGCUUGCAUUGAUUACGUCCCUGCCCUUUGUACACACCGCCCGUCGCUGCUACCGAUUGAGCGAUUAGAUGAACCUCAGGGACUGCUGCUCUUGGUUGGGUUUCCUUCCUUGGGUUGGCGGGAACUGAUGUGAAUCUACUCGCUUAGAGGAAGCAAAAGUCGUAACAAGGUU